AGAGUUUGAUCCUGGCUCAGGACGAACGCUGACGGUGUGCUUUAGGCAUGCAAGUCGAACGAGAAAGCCCUUCGGGGUGAGUAAAGUGGCGAACGGGUGAGUAACACGUGGGCAGCCUGCCCCUCGCAGGGGAACAACCGGAGGAAACUCCGGCUAAUACCCCGUAAGCUUUCAGGGUCGCAUGGCCUUGAAAGGAAAGGUAGCUUCGGCCAUCCGGCGAGGGAUGGGCCCGCGGUGCAUUAGCUAGUUGGUGGGGUAAAGGCCCACCAAGGCGACGAUGCGUAGCUGGUCUGAGAGGAUGAUCAGCCACACUGGGACUGAGACACGGCCCAGACUCCUACGGGAGGCAGCAGCCAGGAAUCUUGGGCAAUGGGCGAAAGCCUGACCCAGCAACACCGUGUGGGCGAUGAAGGCCUUCGGGUCGUAAAGCCCUGUUGAUAGGGACGAAGGGCGAAGGGUUAAUAGCCCCUAGCCUGACGGUACCUUUCGAGGAAGCCCCGGCUAACUACGUGCCAGCAGCCGCGGUAAUACGUAGGGGGCGAGCGUUGUCCGGAAUUAUUGGGCGUAAAGAGCGUGUAGGCGGUUCGGUAAGUCUGCUGUGAAAUCCUGGGGCUCAACCCUGGGCGUGCAGCGGAUACUGCCGGGCUAGAGGGUGGUAGAGGCGAGUGGAAUUCCGAGUGUAGCGGUGAAAUGCGCAGAUAUUCGGAGGAACACCAGUAGCGAAGGCGGCUCGCUGGGCCACACCUGACGCUGAGACGCGAAAGCGUGGGGAGCGAACAGGAUUAGAUACCCCGGUAGUCC
RNAcentral lists this ribosomal RNA (801 nucleotides) under uncultured Rubrobacter sp. RNAcentral's name for it is "bacterial SSU rRNA". It matches the Rfam family "Bacterial small subunit ribosomal RNA", at positions 8 to 796 of the family's 1533-position model. The record is from RNAcentral. Lineage: Bacteria; Bacillati; Actinomycetota; Rubrobacteria; Rubrobacterales; Rubrobacteraceae.